GGUGCAUAGCUCAGAGGUAGAGCACUUGCUUACCAUGUGCAAGGCCCUGGGUUCAGUCCUCAGCACCA
This 68-nucleotide transfer RNA is filed under the name Marmota monax (woodchuck). RNAcentral describes it as "tRNA.Gly". Lineage: Eukaryota; Metazoa; Chordata; Mammalia; Rodentia; Sciuridae. The record is from RNAcentral.